RNAcentral lists this transfer RNA (71 nucleotides) under Camelus bactrianus (Bactrian camel). It matches the Rfam family "tRNA". From Rfam's summary of the family: Transfer RNA (tRNA) molecules are approximately 80 nucleotides in length. Their secondary structure includes four short double-helical elements and three loops (D, anti-codon, and T loops). RNAcentral also lists the same sequence under 2 other names. Lineage: Eukaryota; Metazoa; Chordata; Mammalia; Artiodactyla; Camelidae. The record is from Rfam by way of RNAcentral.
GAGGGAAUAGCUCAGUGGUAGAGUGUGUGCUUAGCAUGCAUGAGGUCCUGGGUUCAUCCCCAGUACCUGCA